This 825-nucleotide ribosomal RNA is filed under the name Triticum aestivum (bread wheat). RNAcentral's name for it is "partial small subunit ribosomal RNA". The record is from RNAcentral. Lineage: Eukaryota; Viridiplantae; Streptophyta; Magnoliopsida; Poales; Poaceae.
AUGCACCUCGUCAAUCCUAUCACUGGUCAACAGAUUGCUCUCCUGUCAGUGACCAUCAUCGAGUACGUGAAGCCCAUCUUUGAUGAGUCGGGUUCGGUCCACGAGUAUGAAUACCCAAGUCACUCUGCAAGGCGGGCUUUCUUCACGCCAACGAUCCUCGCUCGUUGUGAGCUGCGGGAACACUUCCAGUUCAAGGCGUUUGUGUUCCAUGAUGCAUCGACAGGAGGCUACAUCGUGAUGCUCAUCCUUAGGCCAUACACUCACCUAUCCUUUGCAAGAGUUGGGGAUGAUAGGUGGACCUUGCUGGAACCACACUGUGACUACCAGGACUGCACCUACAAGGAUGGGUUGUUGUAUGCAGCGAGUACGAUGGGAGAAAUUCAUGCCUUCGAGCUUAGUGGUCCUGAUGUUACAAUGAAUAUCAUCAAGGGGAGGGACGAGGGCUUUCAUCCGAAUGGUGUACACAUUGUUCAGGCUCCAUGGGGAGGUCUACUGCUUGUUUCAAGAUUAAUGGAGUUUGAGGAUCCCGAUAAAGACGUCGACCUUAAAAUACCGGUUCCGAAUACUAGGGAAAUUAAAUUAAACAGAGUUGAUGAUGGUGCCAAGAGUCUUGUGAAAGUUGUUUGCUUGCCUGGCCAUGUGUUGUUUCUUGGGCUUAACGAUUCACUAUGUCUCAGUGCCAAAGAUUACCUUGCUCUCAAGGGGAAUCAUGCCUACUUUACUGACAAUCAACAGUACAAUCAAGGACGUAAGAGUAGUCAUCGCGAUAUUGGAGUAGUUGACUUGGGAAAUUAUAAUAGCAAGGAGGACAUUGUGUCACCUUAG